Molecule: transfer RNA, 76 nt
Filed under: Alphaproteobacteria bacterium RIFOXYD12_FULL_60_8
Lineage: Bacteria; Pseudomonadati; Pseudomonadota; Alphaproteobacteria
Description: tRNA-Trp
Rfam family: tRNA
About the family: Transfer RNA (tRNA) molecules are approximately 80 nucleotides in length. Their secondary structure includes four short double-helical elements and three loops (D, anti-codon, and T loops).
Source: RNAcentral
AGGGGUAUAGCUCAGCUGGUAGAGCGGCGGUCUCCAAAACCGCAGGUCGAGGGUUCGAUCCCUUCUGCCCCUGCCA